GAUUUUCUAGUUAAAUCAGGUCAUGUACAAAGCACAUGAAGGUAGUUUUGUAAUUUUACCCAUUUAUACAUAUCUUCAACACUCUGUCACUCUCAACUCUCUCUCUCUUAACACUCUUUCUCUCUCAACUCAUCUUCAACAACAACAGAAGUUUCUAAUCAGAAUAUUGUUGUUGAUGCACCAAUCAAAUCGAAACAAAACUUUAUCAAAUCAAAGCCAAAACUUAUUGCAAUCGACAGUGUCAAAUUCGGAGUCAAGAUUCCAACAUCAACCCCAUCACCGCAUCUUCUCCCAACCUCUGAUCACCACCACACUCUCUCUCACAGAUCUGAUUUAAACGAAGGGGUUCUUGUAGUUAUCCGUGAGGUGGAGCUUGGUGGUCGUCGGAUUUGAGGAAGCGACCGGAGAUGGUGGUUAUCAGUGGAGUUUGGUUGCCGCCAGAAAUGAGGAACUGGUAGAAAUAGUUUCAGGCGAUGGUGGGUUUAGGCGGUGGUGAAGAUGGCAACACUGUGAUGGUGGUGGUGGCUCAUAGAAAAAGAGAGUUCAGGGAGAAAGAGAGCAACAGAGAUAGUUGAGAAUGAGAUGGUUUCUAAUUUUCUAUUGAUUAUGAAUUAUUAAGUUUUUAAAGU
Molecule: long non-coding RNA, 629 nt
Organism: Helianthus annuus (common sunflower)
Lineage: Eukaryota; Viridiplantae; Streptophyta; Magnoliopsida; Asterales; Asteraceae
Exons: 2
Source: RefSeq, a predicted model, not a curated record